This 486-nucleotide ribosomal RNA is filed under the name uncultured bacterium. RNAcentral's name for it is "partial 16S ribosomal RNA". It matches the Rfam family "Bacterial small subunit ribosomal RNA", at positions 30 to 507 of the family's 1533-position model. The record is from RNAcentral.
AUUGAACGCUGGCGGCAUGCCUUACACAUGCAAGUCGAACGGCAGCACGGGUGCUUGCACCUGGUGGCGAGUGGCGGACGGGUGAGUAAUACAUCGGAACAUGUCCUGUAGUGGGGGAUAGCCCGGCGAAAGCCGGAUUAAUACCGCAUACGAUCCACGGAUGAAAGCGGGGGACCGUCGGGCCUCGCGCUAUAGGGUUGGCCGAUGGCUGAUUAGCUAGUUGGUGGGGUAAAGGCCUACCAAGGCGACGAUCAGUAGCUGGUCUGAGAGGACGACCAGCCACACUGGGACUGAGACACGGCCCCGACUCCUACGGGAGGCAGCAGUGGGGAAUUUUGGACAAUGGGCGAAAGCCUGAUCCAGCAAUGCCGCGUGUGUGAAGAAGGCCUUCGGGUUGUAAAGCACUUUUGUCCGGAAAGAAAUCCUUGGCUCUAAUACAGUCGGGGGAUGACGGUACCGGAAGAAUAAGCACCGGCUAACUACGUG